This 760-nucleotide ribosomal RNA is filed under the name Bacillus sp. (in: firmicutes). RNAcentral's name for it is "bacterial SSU rRNA". It matches the Rfam family "Bacterial small subunit ribosomal RNA", at positions 31 to 776 of the family's 1533-position model. The record is from RNAcentral. Lineage: Bacteria; Bacillati; Bacillota; Bacilli; Caryophanales; Bacillaceae.
CUAGGCAUGGCGCGUGCUAUAAUGCAGUCGAGCGAACUGAUUAGAAGCUUGCUUCUAUGACGUUAGCGGCGGACGGGUGAGUAACACGUGGGCAACCUGCCUGUAAGACUGGGAUAACUUCGGGAAACCGAAGCUAAUACCGGAUAGGAUCUUCUCCUUCAUGGGAGAUGAUUGAAAGAUGGUUUCGGCUAUCACUUACAGAUGGGCCCGCGGUGCAUUAGCUAGUUGGUGAGGUAACGGCUCACCAAGGCAACGAUGCAUAGCCGACCUGAGAGGGUGAUCGGCCACACUGGGACUGAGACACGGCCCAGACUCCUACGGGAGGCAGCAGUAGGGAAUCUUCCGCAAUGGACGAAAGUCUGACGGAGCAACGCCGCGUGAGUGAUGAAGGCUUUCGGGUCGUAAAACUCUGUUGUUAGGGAAGAACAAGUACAAGAGUAACUGCUUGUACCUUGACGGUACCUAACCAGAAAGCCACGGCUAACUACGUGCCAGCAGCCGCGGUAAUACGUAGGUGGCAAGCGUUAUCCGGAAUUAUUGGGCGUAAAGCGCGCGCAGGCGGUUUCUUAAGUCUGAUGUGAAAGCCCACGGCUCAACCGUGGAGGGUCAUUGGAAACUGGGGAACUUGAGUGCAGAAGAGAAAAGCGGAAUUCCACGUGUAGCGGUGAAAUGCGAAAAGAUGUGGAGGAACACCAGUGGCGAAGGCGGCCUUUUGGUCUGUAACUGACGCUGAGGUGCGAAAGCUCGGGGAGCAUACAGA